AUGUGUGUGGGGGGCAAUAGCGCACACACGCAGCAUCAGUGUGAGGGCAGGAGCACACACGCAGCAACACAUACACAUGCACCAACACACACGCACGCGCACAUACACGCAACAACACGCACGCGCGCGUGCACACACACACGCACACACACGCAGCAACACACAUGCACGCGCACACACACGCAUGCAGCACACACACACGCAGUAGCAACACACACGCAGGCAGCACAUAGGCACACACGCAGUAGCAAACACACACGCAAAGCUCGAGUAGACUGUCAUGCUCGUCUGUGUAUCGCAAAGCUGAGAAAUGCUGUGUAG
Molecule: ribosomal RNA, 321 nt
Filed under: Triticum aestivum (bread wheat)
Lineage: Eukaryota; Viridiplantae; Streptophyta; Magnoliopsida; Poales; Poaceae
Description: partial small subunit ribosomal RNA
Source: RNAcentral